RNAcentral lists this long non-coding RNA (1434 nucleotides) under Drosophila melanogaster (fruit fly). RNAcentral's name for it is "long non-coding RNA:CR31781 (Dmel_CR31781)". The record is from RNAcentral. Lineage: Eukaryota; Metazoa; Arthropoda; Insecta; Diptera; Drosophilidae.
AAAUACCCUAAUACAUAACAGAAACAAAAGCAAGUCACUAAACUUGACUGCAAAUAUAAUACGAUGACACUUAAUAGAAACAUUGUAAUAAAAUUGAAAAGAAGUAGACAAGAAUAACCACUCAUAAAACUAAAAUACCCAGCCUAUAACUAUUUUUCAAAUAGUUGGCAUAGUGCUUACUAUGAACCAUAAUCGCAUAUGAUAUAACCAAUAUUGAGCACUUAAUAUAGCCCAAUAUUAUAUAGACCCAAAUAUGAAAUAGUCACAAACAAUAGUGCAAUACAAUACGUUUAUAAAACAACGUCAAAAGUUUUAUAACGAAAAUAUAUUUCUUUAUAAUGAGCACUUUCGAACAACUACAUUUAAUAUAAAAUAGCGCGGGAAGUCUUCGGCGUGGUGAAAGUAUAAGGUGUAAGCACAGCUGAGAAGAAAGGAAUUUACAAAAUCGAAGGAAGAAGUGAAAGAAGGAGUGAAAAAACAUCUAAGCGCGGAAAAGUGCUACAAAAUGGGCAGGCGACAGUUCUGCGCAAUUUUCUCGGGCUUUUCUCUUUCGGUCUUGACGUUUUUAUCGCUUUUCUGCGCCUUUCGCCUUCGAUCUUCUGCCCGUCAAGUGUGUCCGAAAAUAGCAAGAAGCUGACAUCCUAAAGGAAACCUUGUUGGCCAAUUGGGGAGGAGGCCCAGAAGGUCGGGCCGAUUUUCCGCUGCAACCGACGAAGGUCUGACCAACCAAUCGCAACGCACAGCGGCGACGAAGCCCGGCCGAAUGGGAGCAUCUCGGGCAAACGGAGGGACAGUCAGCCGCCCUGCAAUGCAUUUCUUUUGGCAACGAGUCAAGCGGCCUUUCACACACACACACACACACAUUAGGAUUCCAUAAGGAUACUCUGCCUCGCUCACAUGCGCAUCGAGUGGUAUACGUAAUAUAUCAAGUAUACGCCUGUUGGCCGGGCAGAAAGUCUGUGAGUGUGUGCGAAUGGCCAAACAGAGUGUUGCCAACUGCAUUGCCGGGCUGCCAACGACUCAACCCCCGACCCGAGGACACCACCCUCCUCCCGGCCAGGAGGCCAACGACGAGUCCUUUUUGGAGGCAGCGCAUUGGCUGCAGGACGACCGGCGACAGGACGACCAAUCACCAAUCAAAUCGCGGCUUGUGCGCACUAUCACGGCCGUACGAAGGGCCAAAGGCACGGCAUCCAGGACCUCAGCCGGAGACCCCAAGCCGAUUGUCAAUCUCUUAGACAUAUUAUUAUGCCAACGUCUCCUAUAUUAUAGUUCUCUAGUCGUAAGUCACAUGCCCAAGCCAUCGCCCCAGAACAUCGGGGACAUGAAACAUUAGUUUUAUUGAUAGAGUUCUUAGUUUCGAGCAGAAGCUAUACGAUGAUGAUUUCAAGAAUGAGAAAACGGAAUAAAAACUGUAAAGCUUCAGAGCGGAAC